GACGAACGCUGGCGGCGUGCUUAACACAUGCAAGUCGAACGGAAAGGCCCUGCUUUUGUGGGGUGCUCGAGUGGCGAACGGGUGUGUAACACGUGAGUAACCUGCCCUUGACUUUGGGAUAACUUCAGGAAACUGGGGCUAAUACCGGAUAGGAGCUCCUGCUGCAUGGUGGGGGUUGGAAAGUUUCGGCGGUUGGGGAUGGACUCGCGGCUUAUCAGCUUGUUGGUGGGGUAGUGGCUUACCAAGGCUUUGACGGGUAGCCGGCCUGAGAGGGUGACCGGCCACAUUGGGACUGAGAUACGGCCCAGACUCCUACGGGAGGCAGCAGUGGGGAAUAUUGCACAAUGGGCGGAAGCCUGAUGCAGCAACGCCGCGUGCGGGAUGACGGCCUUCGGGUUGUAAACCGCUUUCGCCUGUGACGAAGCGUGAGUGACGGUAAUGGGUAGAGAAGCACCGGCUAACUACGUG
This 468-nucleotide ribosomal RNA is filed under the name uncultured bacterium. Its description in RNAcentral is "partial 16S ribosomal RNA". It matches the Rfam family "Bacterial small subunit ribosomal RNA", at positions 28 to 507 of the family's 1533-position model. The record is from RNAcentral.